RNAcentral lists this ribosomal RNA (460 nucleotides) under uncultured bacterium. Its description in RNAcentral is "partial 16S ribosomal RNA". It matches the Rfam family "Bacterial small subunit ribosomal RNA", at positions 338 to 795 of the family's 1533-position model. The record is from RNAcentral.
CCUACGGGAGGCAGCAGUGAGGAAUAUUGGUCAAUGGACGAGAGUCUGAACCAGCCAAGUCGCGUGAAGGAUGACUGCCCUAUGGGUUGUAAACUUCUUUUAUAUGGGAAUAAAAUGUUCCACGUGUGGGUUUUUGUAUGUACCAUAUGAAUAAGGAUCGGCUAACUCCGUGCCAGCAGCCGCGGUAAUACGGAGGAUCCGAGCGUUAUCCGGAUUUAUUGGGUUUAAAGGGAGCGUAGGUGGAUUGUUAAGUCAGUUGUGAAAGUUUGCGGCUCAACCGUAAAAUUGCAGUUGAAACUGGCAGUCUUGAGUACAGUAGAGGUGGGCGGAAUGCGUGGUGUAGCGGUGAAAUGCUUAGAGAUCACGAAGAACUCCGAUUGCGAAGGCAGCUCACUGGACUGCAACUGACACUGAGGCUCGAAAGUGUGGGUAUCAAACAGGAUUAGAUACCCGAGUAGUC